Chinchilla lanigera (long-tailed chinchilla) is the source of this 1590-nucleotide long non-coding RNA. The record is from Ensembl. NCBI's taxonomy places the organism in Eukaryota, Metazoa, Chordata, Mammalia, Rodentia, Chinchillidae.
CCAACUUUUUUUUUGUAAUUAAUUGUCUUGAAGAUAUUUGUUGGGGGCUUAGUAAUAGGAGCAUUAUACUAGGUAGAAGAUGUAAGUGGUGAAGAGUAACUGUAAAAAAAUAACGUUUGAGGGAACCUUAUUGUAAAUAAAUCUUUGAUGGCAUCUUUCAUUCCUACACUGAAUUCCUAGGACUAUGAAAACAUAACUUCAAAAGACAUUCUUCAAGCUUCAAAGGCAAACUUAAACUAAAAUUCUAAACUGUAAAAUAUUUACUUUUUGGAAAAGUACCAACAAGAGAAUUAAUAUUUAUUUUGUGCAAAGUGUGAACUUACCCAGAAGAUGCUUUCUUGUUAGUUACUGUGAAUCACCAAGGGUUUUUGAAGUGUAUUGACUUUGGCUUUGACUUCUAAUUCUUUCCAGGAUUUGCUGGUUUUCUCAGUAGUGUGAGGUUGUUUGAAGUCUAUGCAAAUUGCCCUGCUUCCUCUUUUGACAGUUAAAAUGUUAACUACAGUAUUUUAUUUCCAGCUUUCUUCUUGUAAACAUAUGGCCUUCCUACAUUUGUUUCAUUUAUCUCCUGCCUGCACCACAUCUUUAAAUUCUCAAAACUACUUACUUGGAUAAAUGCACGACUCUGGUCAGACUCAGAUCUCUAGCUCCUCAUGCCCCCAUCCGCACAGCUGCUGUGUCCGGUGAAACACUGAGCAGCUUCACUCCAAGUUCACUGCAUUUGUUCCCCUGGAGGCCCUCAGUGAGCCCUACUGUCACACCACACGUGUGCAGUGUGGCCGCUCUCGUCUGUUCUCUCCUGCACCAGUGGACUUCAAGAAGAAAACAGUUUACAGAAAUCGGUGAGCAGGUCUUCAACAGUUUAUGAACUCUUUCUUAAAAAUUUUCCACAUGAGAAUGCAUUGGGAAUUGCAUUCACAUCCCUAACUUGUUUCUCUCACUGUAUGUAAAAAGGCAGCUUGUCUGCCACGUCCCAUCUCAGAGGUGAGCUCUUGAGGUAACUACCUCCUGCGCUAAACCAAAAGGCAGCUCCUUUGUGCAAUCGAUCAAGAUACGCCAAUGUUUAAACUUCCUGUCUCCUCUCUGUUCUAAGUAUAUUUCUCUUAAAGUGAAACUAGCAUUAGACAGUCGGUGCUUCAACUCACACUGAAAUGCUUGCAGUUCUGAUAUUAUAGCGUGGGUUGGUGGAACUGAUGACAAUUUUUGUUGGAUGCCUUUGUCUCCUUCAUCUAUAGGUUUUUGUCAGGAACCCAGCGUUCUUUGGGGGAGAGUCCAAAAGAGCAGAAGAUUGGUGAGAAAUAUUGGUGAAGAUAUUGAUUGGUAGUGCAUUGAAUAUUGGUGAGGAAAACAGCUUUUCAAAUAUGUUUAAACAUUAGCAAAUCUUAGCUAUUCUCAGUCACCUUUAGGGCCAUGUUAUUAGCUAGAAGGAAGAAAAUUUUGACCGGCAAAUCUCUUUAAGUUAAUAACACUGAUUCUUUCAGUGUACCUUGGAUGAGUUCUAGGACUACCAGUUUUUAAAAGAUACAUUAAAUAUCUAGGCUAGAGAUAAAACUUUUAUGUGGUCUCUCUCAGAUUAAGUAUAUAUUAUUAAAC